RNAcentral lists this transfer RNA (69 nucleotides) under Odocoileus virginianus (white-tailed deer). It matches the Rfam family "tRNA". From Rfam's summary of the family: Transfer RNA (tRNA) molecules are approximately 80 nucleotides in length. Their secondary structure includes four short double-helical elements and three loops (D, anti-codon, and T loops). Further hydrogen bonds mediate the characteristic L-shaped molecular structure. tRNAs have two regions of fundamental functional importance: the anti-codon, which is responsible for specific mRNA codon recognition, and the 3' end, to which the tRNAs corresponding amino acid is attached (by aminoacyl-tRNA synthetases). tRNAs cope with the degeneracy of the genetic code in two manners: having more than one tRNA (with a specific anti-codon) for a particular amino acid; and 'wobble' base-pairing, i.e. permitting non-standard base-pairing at the 3rd anti-codon position. The record is from RNAcentral. Lineage: Eukaryota; Metazoa; Chordata; Mammalia; Artiodactyla; Cervidae.
UCAAGAUAUAGCUUAAACUAAAGCAUCUAGUUUACACCUAGAAGAUUUCACAUAUUAUGAAUAUCUUGA